CUCCAGAUGUUGCUGAACUACAACUCCCAUGAUUAUCUAUGUAUCUAUGUCAUUGAAAGAACCAUGGGAGUUGUAGUUCAGCAACAUCUGGAG
This 93-nucleotide microRNA precursor is filed under the name Pelobates cultripes (western spadefoot toad). Lineage: Eukaryota; Metazoa; Chordata; Amphibia; Anura; Pelobatidae. The record is from RNAcentral.